CCUACGGGAGGCAGCAGUGAGGAAUAUUGGUCAAUGGACGCAAGUCUGAACCAGCCAUGCCGCGUGCAGGAAGACGGCUCUAUGAGUUGUAAACUGCUUUUGUACGAGGGUAAACGCAGAUACGCGUAUCUGUCUGAAAGUAUCGUACGAAUAAGGAUCGGCUAACUCCGUGCCAGCAGCCGCGGUAAUACGGAGGAUUCAAGCGUUAUCCGGAUUUAUUGGGUUUAAAGGGUGCGUAGGCGGUCUGAUAAGUUAGAGGUGAAAUCCCGAGGCUCAACUUCGGAAUUGCCUCUGAUACUGUUCGGCUUGAGAGUAGUUGCGGUAGGCGGAAUGUAUGGUGUAGCGGUGAAAUGCUUAGAGAUCAUACAGAACACCGAUUGCGAAGGCAGCUUACCAAGCUACUUCUGACGUUGAGGCACGAAAGCGUGGGGAGCAAACAGGAUUAGAUACCCGAGUAGUC
Molecule: ribosomal RNA, 460 nt
Filed under: uncultured bacterium
Lineage: Bacteria
Description: partial 16S ribosomal RNA
Rfam family: Bacterial small subunit ribosomal RNA
Source: RNAcentral